UCCUCCAAAAUGAAAGGCCUACUGGUACCUCACUGCAUUGACUUUCAGCACAGUGUAUUCACAAUGAACCAGUUCUGUGAAGCUGAGCAGUCACAAAGGUC
Lemur catta (Ring-tailed lemur) is the source of this 101-nucleotide long non-coding RNA. RefSeq lists it as uncharacterized. The transcript has 3 exons. Lineage: Eukaryota; Metazoa; Chordata; Mammalia; Primates; Lemuridae. The record is from RefSeq and is a predicted model, not a curated record.